Molecule: long non-coding RNA, 480 nt
Organism: Pecten maximus
Lineage: Eukaryota; Metazoa; Mollusca; Bivalvia; Pectinida; Pectinidae
Exons: 3
Source: RefSeq, a predicted model, not a curated record
AAACCUGGUCAGUAGUACACUCACCAAUCUCCUAUUCCGAUAACAGCCGGGGAUUCAGACGCAGGCUGUCGUUCCGCGCGAACCAGUUCAGCCAUGGAAAAGAUACUCUUGUUUUGCCUGAUAGUCGGCGCGAUUGCCUUUGUUUUGGGACAGGGUAAUCGUCGGUACUAUUACCCGAACGGACAGGUUGGGUAUGUAUCUGGCUACCCUCUAGGAGACUAUCUCAGAGCUAGGAAUGUCUACCUACGGGCCAGGCUUGCGGAUAGAAAGCAGGACAGUUUCUUGGGGGAUAUUGUAGGCCUGGGUGGAUAUUUCCUUUUAUAUGCUCUCUACAAGAAUUUGACAGGCCAGCUGAUUGGUUGAUGUACACAAGUAUUCGUUGGAAAUGGACAUCCAAUAUAUUUAUACAAGGGGCUAAAUGGCGGUUUGGUACAACUUGUGUGAUGAUUCUAUAUAUUAAAUGUCAUUUGUGUGUCUUUA